This 1619-nucleotide long non-coding RNA is filed under the name Patiria miniata (bat star). RNAcentral's name for it is "uncharacterized LOC119737811". The record is from RNAcentral. Lineage: Eukaryota; Metazoa; Echinodermata; Asteroidea; Valvatida; Asterinidae.
GGUCGGUAUUAAACACUAUGUUUAACACCUAUCAAGCACACAUUUAUUCCCUUAUUUCGACAUGGAUUUGCUUAACUGCGUACCUGCAGGACCCAACAAAUCUUAAGAGGAAAGCAACUAUAAUCCUAAAAAUGCCAUCUUUGUGUCGUCAUGCCUCCAUAAUGUUAAAACCCAGCUGAGAUUUUUGUUCAGGCUGUUGAUGAGAUUUUGGACAAAAUGCUGAAGAAUUCUUGUGUCCCGUCUUCUUGAUAACAGUCAUCACUUGAAACCAACUUGCGUAAUAUUUCUAAACCAGUGUUGGUAUUAGUUUGAAUGUUAUGUCAACACGGAUGCUUUUCUGAUUCGUGACCUGACGUCUUUUUCUUUGUCCAAUCUUUUUCUCUGGAGAAGCUUUCCCUUCUGUUCGUCAUUUUAGACUUCAUUGUGCUAUAAUUCUGCAAAUAGAUGCUGUCUUUUUGAGCAACUUGGUAUCCAUGGUUACCUGAAAAUGAUGAAUAUUCAGAGAAGAAAAACAAAGGAAUGCUCCCCGUUUUCAUCUACAGUAAAACUGUCCACAGCUUUUUUAACUUUUGCGAAAUGUUCUCUUUUGAACAUGUCUGCGAAAGAGUACUUCGUUUCUGGUAAAUGAAACUUCUGGAAUUUCUAUGUAUAAGCCACCAAGUCGCCACAUGUCGGCCAUGACCGACUUCUUUAUUUCACUUGUGGAGAAAACGGUGAAGAACAUGCCGAAUUAUGCCGGCCUAAAUGUUUGAUAAGAUACAUUGUGUUUCUUUACUGAAAACUGCUGUAAGUAGCAUAAUGUCAUACAAUUAUAUUGGGUAUACCACGGUGAUAGAUAAUUUAUUGGUCCAUCAUUGAUCACGUGUCAUGCCACAAAAACGCAUACUACAUGUAUUAGUGUUAGAUGAACUGAACGUCCUACUGCCCAUGGUUAGACACAUCUUGUUUCCUUACUGCGACAUGAGUAACGUACUGUCAUACAAUUAUAUCAGUUAUCGUUAGGAGACAACUUUUGUUUUUGAAAAUAUGAAACACGUACGUGCCCCGGUGCAUAAUAUGUGAAAGCUAGAAAAUUAACCAUAGUGUUAAAUGAACUAAAUGCCCUACUGCCCAUGGUUUAUUAUAGACACAUUUUGUUUCCUUACUGCGAUAUUAGUAACAUACUAUCAUACAAUUAUAUCAGUUAUCGUUUAGGGAACAACUUUUGUUUUUGAAAACAUGAAACACGUAGGUGCCCCGGUACAUAAUAUGUGAAAGCUAGAAAAUUAAUCAUACUAUUAUUGUAGUGUACACAAGAUGAACUAAACGUACUACUGCCCAUUGUGAGAUAUAUCUUGUUUCCAUACUGCGAAAUGAGGAACGUUCUGUCAUACAAUUAUAUCAGUUAUCGUUAGGGGACAACUUUUGUUUUUGAAAAAAUGAAACAUGUAGGGGCCCAGGUGCAUAAUAUGUAAAAGAUAGAAAAUUAAUCAUACAUUUAUUGUAUUGUAAGAUGAACUAAACGCCCUACUGCCCAUGGUGAGAUACAUCUUGUUGCCAUACUGCGAAAUGAGUAACAUACUGUCAUACAAUUAUAUCAGUUAUCGUUAAAGGUAAUAUACAACAUUUGCAAACAUCAA